CGCGUCGGCAAUGACCACCACCGCACCGGUGGCAUCCGUAGGCGUGCGUGCCUCGACGGCAUCCGUAGGCGCGUCGUCGGGCACCGCCUCGGGUCGCCCCUCGCUCAUCCUCUCCUUUUUCCCAGUCGCUUGCAGCACUCUUUUUUUUCUUUUCCUUUUUCCUGUUUGCGCACUUGGCUGCUUGUCUUGGGCCUUUUUCUCUCUCUCUCUCUCUCUCUCUCGCUGUCUGUCUGUCUCUUUCUUUCGACUUGGCACUCGCGUCGAGGACCGGCCACACUUUAUGCCAAGACCAAAAACCAACGAUC
RNAcentral lists this long non-coding RNA (305 nucleotides) under Pandoravirus salinus. RNAcentral's name for it is "putative ncRNA". The record is from RNAcentral.